ACGGGAGGCAGCAGUGGGGAAUAUUGGGCAAUGGGGGAAACCCUGACCCAGCAACGCCGCGUGGAGGAAGAAGGUCUUCGGAUCGUAAACUCCUGUCCUCAAAGACGAGAAGAAGACGGUAUUUGAGGAGGAAGCCCCGGCUAACUACGUGCCAGCAGCCGCGGUAAUACGUAGGGGGCAAGCGUUGUCCGGAAUGAUUGGGCGUAAAGGGCGCGUAGGCGGCCUGUUAAGUCUGGAGUGAAAGUCCUGUUUUCAAGAUGGGAAUUGCUUUGGAUACUGAUGGGCUUGAGUGCAGGAGAGGUUAUCGGAAUUCCUGGUGUAGCGGUGAAAUGCGUAGAGAUCGGGAGGAACACCAGUGGCGAAGGCGGGUAACUGGACUGCAACUGACGCUGAGGCGCGAAAGUGUGGGGAGCAAACAGGAUUAGAUACCCUGGUA
RNAcentral lists this ribosomal RNA (436 nucleotides) under uncultured bacterium. RNAcentral's name for it is "partial 16S ribosomal RNA". It matches the Rfam family "Bacterial small subunit ribosomal RNA", at positions 341 to 792 of the family's 1533-position model. The record is from RNAcentral.